GUGGGGAAUCUUAGACAAUGGGCGCAAGCCUGAUCUAGCCAUGCCGCGUGAGCGAUGAAGGCCUUAGGGUUGUAAAGCUCUUUCGUGGGGGAAGAUAAUGACUGUACCCCAAGAAGAAGCCCCGGCUAACUCCGUGCCAGCAGCCGCGGUAAUACGGAGGGGGCUAGCGUUGUUCGGAAUUACUGGGCGUAAAGCGCACGUAGGCGGACUGGAAAGUCAGGGGUGAAAUCCCGGGGCUCAACCCCGGAACUGCCUUUGAAACUCCCAGUCUUGAGGUCGAGAGAGGUGGGUGGAAUUCCGAGUGUAGAGGUGAAAUUCGUAGAUAUUCGGAGGAACACCAGUGGCGAAGGCGGCCCACUGGCUCGAUACUGACGCUGAGGUGCGAAAGCGUGGGGAGCAAACAGGAUUAGAUACCCUAGUAGUCC
This 425-nucleotide ribosomal RNA is filed under the name uncultured bacterium. Its description in RNAcentral is "partial 16S ribosomal RNA". It matches the Rfam family "Bacterial small subunit ribosomal RNA", at positions 354 to 796 of the family's 1533-position model. The record is from RNAcentral.